GGACAAGGCAGGGCAGGGCAGCGGGCGGAUGGGCAUCCUUUCGGAAAAAACUCAUAGAGCGCAGAGGGCCUUGGCUGUGGUGUUUGGCACUAACCAGCUUCCCUCUCUCCUAGAUGGCAGACUGUGGCGGCCUCCCGCAGAUCUCCCAGCCGGCCAAGCUCGCUGAGGCCUUCAAGUACUUCGUGCAGGGCAUGGGAUACAUGCCCUCGGCUAGCAUGACCCGCCUGAUGCGGUCCCGCACAGCCUCUGGUUCCAGUGUCACUUCUCUGGAUGGCACCCGCAGCCGCUCCCACACCAGCGAGGGCACCCGAAGCCGCUCCCACACCAGCGAGGGCACCCGCAGCCGCUCCCACACCAGCGAGGGGGCCCACCUGGACAUCACCCCCAACUCGGGUGCUGCUGGGAACAACACCGGGCCCAAGUCCAUGGAGGUCUCCUGCUAGGCGCCUGCCCAGCUGCCGCCCCCGGACUCUGAUCUCUGUAGUGGCCCCCUCCUCCCCAGCCCCUUUUCGCCCCCUGCCUGCCACGCUGCGCCUAACUCGGUAUUAAUCCAAAGCUUAUUUUGUAAGAGUGAGCUCUGGUGGAGACAAAUGGGGUCUAUUACGUGGGUGCCCUCUCCAAAGGCGGGGUGGCGGUGGACCAAAGGAAGGAAGCAAGCAUCUCCGCAUCGCAUCCUCUUCCAUUAACCAGUGGCCGGUUGCCACUCUCCUCCCCUCCCUCAGAGACGCCAAACUGCCAAAAACAAGACACGUAGCAGCACACACUUCACAAAGCCAAGCCUAGGCUGCCCUGAGCAUCCUGGUUCAAACGGGUGCCUGGUCAGAAGGCCAGCCGCCCACUUCCCGUUUCCUCUUUAACUGAGGAGAAGCUGAUCCAGUUUCCGGAAACAAAAUCCUUUUCUCAUUUGGGGAGGGGGGUAAUAGUGACAUGCAGGCACCUCUUUUAAACAGGCAAAACAGGAAGGGGGAAAAGGUGGGAUUUAUGUCGAGGCUAGAGGCAUUUGGAACAACAAAUCUAUGUAGUUAACUUGAAGAAACCGAUUUUUAAAGUUGGUGCAUCUAGAAAGCUUUGAAUGCAGAAGCAAACAAGCUUGGUUUUUCUAGCAUCCUCUUAAUGUGCAGCAAAAGCAGGCAACAAAAUCUCCUGGCUUUACAGACAAAAAUAUUUCAGCAAACGUUGGGCAUCGUGGUUUUUGAAGGCUUUAGUUCUGCUUUCUGCCUCUCCUCCACAGCCCCAACCUCCCAACCCUGAUACAUGAGCCGGUGAUUAUUCUUGUUCAGGGAGAAGAUCAUUUAGGUUUGUUUUGCAUUCCUUGGAAUGGAGGGCAACAUUCCACAGCUGCCCUGGCUGUGAUGAGUGUCCUUGCAGGGGCUGGGGUAGGAACAUUGGGGUGGGGGCGGAAUUGGGGUUACUCGAUGUAAGGGAUUCCUUGUGGUUGUGUUGAGAUCCAGUGCAGUUGUGCUUUCUGUGGAUCCCAGCUUGGUUCCAGGAAUUUUGUGUGAUUGGGUUAAAUCCAGUUUUCAAUCUUCGACAGCUGGGCUAGAAAGUGAACUCAGUAGCUGAACCUGUCUGACCUGGUCACGUUCUUGGAUCCUCAGAACUCUUUGCUCUUGUGGGGGUGGGGGUGGGAACUCAUGUGGGGAGCGGUGGCUGAGAAAAUGUAAGGAUUCUGGAAUACGUAUUCCAUGGGACUUUCCUUCCCUCUCCUGCUUCCUCUUUUCCUGCUCCCUAACCUUUUGCCGAAUGGGGCAGCACCACUGACAUUUCUGGGUGGCCAGUGCGGCUGCCAGGCUCCUGUACUACUGCCUUGUACUUUUCAUUUUGGCUUACCGUGGAUUUUCUCAUAGGAAGUUUGGUCAGAGUGAAUUGAACAUUGUAAGUCAGCCACUGGGACCCGAGGAUUUCUGGGACCCCGCAGUUGGGAGGAGGAAGUAGUCCAGCCUUCCAGGUGGCGUGAGAGGCAAUGACUCGUUACCUGCCGCCCGUCACCUUGGAGGCCUUCCCUGGCCUUGAGUAGAAAAGUCGGGGAUCGGGGCAAGAGAGGCUGAGUACGGAUGGGAAACUAUUGUGCACAAGUCUUUCCAGAGGAGUUUCUUAAUGAGAUAUUUGUAUUUAUUUCCAGACCAAUAAAUUUGUAACUUUGC
This 2144-nucleotide small RNA is filed under the name Pongo abelii (Sumatran orangutan). RNAcentral's name for it is "retained intron". Lineage: Eukaryota; Metazoa; Chordata; Mammalia; Primates; Hominidae. The record is from RNAcentral.